UACAGAGGUCUCAAGCGUUGUUCGGAUUUAUUGGGCGUAAAGAGCUCGUAGGCGGUUCGGCAAGUCGGGUGUGAAACCUCCAGGCUCAACCUGGAGACGCCACCCGAUACUGCUGUGACUAGAGUCCGGUAGGGGAGCGUGGAAUUCCUGGUGUAGCGGUGAAAUGCGCAGAUAUCAGGAGGAACACCAGCGGCGAAGGCGGCGCUCUGGGCCGGAACUGACGCUGAGGAGCGAAAGCGUGGGUAGCAAACAGG
This 254-nucleotide ribosomal RNA is filed under the name uncultured bacterium. RNAcentral's name for it is "partial 16S ribosomal RNA". It matches the Rfam family "Bacterial small subunit ribosomal RNA", at positions 524 to 776 of the family's 1533-position model. The record is from RNAcentral.